UUUCUGAAAAAAGAAAAAAACAAGAAUGUGUCCAUAGUACACGAAUGCCCCACUCGCACUAUCAUUUUCUAUGUUCAGUGGACCGUGAAAUUGGGGUCAAAACUUUAAUUUGGAAUUAAAAUUAGAAAGAUCAUAUCAUAGGGAACAUGUGUACUAAGUUUCAAGUUGAUGUAACUUUAACUUCAUCAAAAACUACCUUGACCAAAAACUUUAACCUGAACUUCGCACUAUCAUUUUCUAUGUUCAGUGGACCAUGAAAUUGGGGUCAAAACUGUAAUUUGGCAUUAAAAUUAGAAAGAUCAUAUCAUGGAGAACAAGUGUACUAAGUUUCAAGUUGAUUGGACUUCAACUUCUUCAAAAACUACCUUGACCAAAAUCUUAGGUCCGAGAACACAAUUAAUUCGUAGUGCAUUUCUUUUAGAACAUAAAUGAAAAUUAAAAAAAUCCCACCUGCGCUUUCUCAAUGAAAUGUUUACAGUGUGUUGUACUACUUUUGGGACAAAUUAUAUCAAAAUUAUAGAAAACUUCAUCGCCUCAAACUCAAAAUAUGGACAAUUUUGUGUUUAGGGUGUCUUGAAAUCUUUUGACAGCUUCCGAAGUGCUAAUUUUUAACCUUUUUCAGCUGGACCGAAUCACUACUUUCCUGUAAAAUUCUGGACCCAAAUUUUUUUACAGUGUAAUUUCACCCCCCUACUUACAAUUUGAGGCAUUAAACAUGGAGAAAUAAAUUUGGAAGGGGUAUAAAAAUUAUUGGCAAGUAACCCACUGUUAACACUAGGGACUAUAUUCGUGAACAACGAAAAUCAAGGGACGACAAUUGUGGUCUCGGACCAAAAAC
RNAcentral lists this long non-coding RNA (838 nucleotides) under Mytilus galloprovincialis (Mediterranean mussel). The record is from RNAcentral. Lineage: Eukaryota; Metazoa; Mollusca; Bivalvia; Mytilida; Mytilidae.